GUCCACUUAAGAUUACAGCUUAUGUACUUUUGGUCUUCUAUGUUCUAGUUUAGUAACUGUGUUUUGAUAUCUUUAUUAGCCAAAUAUUGAGUUGGUUUACAGCAGGAUUAAAUAGGAUAUUAUUCAGGAUGGCCGUAUGUUGUUGCUGUAACGAACGUUGUAUCAAACAAUAUACACCUCAAUUUUACUGUGUCAUUCUGUUGUUUGGUACAGUGGGCCUUAUACUCUGGAUAAGUCUGCAUACAAUAACAAAGGACAAGAAUUCGGUGAUAUUAGCAUCGGGUGCUUAUACAGUUGAGAACAUCUUGAUAAUGUUCAUCUUCGUUUUGGUUCUAGUACUGGUCAUUUUAAUCAGCUUUUGUUGCUGUUGUUAUUGUUUUUAUUGUCGGUCAAAUACAAACAGAGGGUGCUACGACCAUCGCUGUGAUUCUUGUGAUAUAGCAUGUAGUUUAAUUUACAUGGAAACGUGCACAAGCAAAUGUAAAACAAUAUGGACGUAUACGGUAAGUGUUCGCGAUUAUCAUGUUAGCUAUAGCUUUAAGUAUGCAUCGAAACCGAUUGUUUAAACGUAAUAUUCUGAUAUUAAUCAUGAAUUUGUAAAUGUGAGCUAUUGUGAUCCAAAUAUGUCUAGUGUCGGUUGUCAUGCAUAGUGCGGUUCAAAUAUGAUCUCGUUGAAGCCUAAUCAAGGAUCCAAAAUAAGCCACGCCUCAGAAGUCGCAUGACAUAUGUAGAAUUAUAUAGCAAUACAUGUUCAAUACAUUUUUCCAUACAGCUACAAAAUCCAGAAAGGUAAUAUUUACAAUGCAAUAAGGCAUCAUGAUCAUAAAAACAUGUACUAUCUGAAAUACAAGGUCAUAAUCACAUAGUGUAAUUUGCUAUUCAUUUUCAGUUAUGUAACUAAGAACUUGUACAGGUAUGGACAUUUUUUGUUUGUAUGUGUCUUUUUUCCCUCAAUCUGUAGGUAGUAAUAUUAAGAGGUAAAAUAUAUAUUUGCACUGACUUUGUGUUUUUCAAACUCUACCCAGAUAUUGUGUUAUGCUUCUUGUAUGCUGAGUGACACACCUAUUUAUUUAAAGCCUAUUGAUAACAUACACAAGUAGUAUGCAUAAGCUCAUUAGCUUGUUGGUGUUUUCAUUUUGUUUGCAUUUUUUGCUGUAUAGUUAUAUACAUGAGCAUUAGGCAUAAGCACAUAGGCUUGUGUUUUUUUCUUUGUUCACAUGUUGUGUUUCAUAGUUACUCUGUUUGUAUGCCUGUUUGAUUGUUUGAACAAAGAUAUAAUGUAUUGUGUACAUUGUUGUAUGUGUAUAUGUAUUUCCAGAAAAAUCAAUGUGCUAUUUGUUAUCAUAUUUAAAGGCAUGGGAUCUGAAUUUAGUAUUAUCAAGCUUAACUUUACAAUAUGACUAGUGAUCUGAAAAUUGUCUCUUUAAAUCAUAACUUUAAGGUACCUUGAUAUUAAGUGUAAUACUAAUAAUACAUAACAAUAUACUAUCUGAGAUACAAUGCCAUAGACACAUAGUGUAGUUAGUUAGUUCUUUUUUAAUGAGGUAACUAAGAACUUUUACAGAUAUGGAAAAUUAUUGUUUGUGUGUUUGAUUUUUUUCCCUCAAUCUCUGGGUUGUAAAACUGAGAGGUUAAAUAUAACUUACACCGGCUUUGUGUUCUCAAACUCUACCCAGAAAUUGUGCUAUGCUCUUUGCAUACUAAGUGACAUACUUAUUUACAACUUAUUGAUUACAUACAGGAGUAUCAUUCAUAAGCUUAUUGGCUUGUGCUUU
Molecule: long non-coding RNA, 1775 nt
Organism: Dreissena polymorpha
Lineage: Eukaryota; Metazoa; Mollusca; Bivalvia; Myida; Dreissenidae
Exons: 3
Source: RefSeq, a predicted model, not a curated record